This 19-nucleotide ribosomal RNA is filed under the name Inocybe gracilior. RNAcentral describes it as "partial 18S ribosomal RNA". Lineage: Eukaryota; Fungi; Basidiomycota; Agaricomycetes; Agaricales; Inocybaceae. The record is from RNAcentral.
AACCUGCGGAAGGUCAUUA